AGAUCUGAAUGUUUGAAUGAUUGCAGAACAAUGUUAGGUUAAGGUGCUUUCUCUGAAGUAGUUUCCCACAGGUUAAAUUCCAAACGUGCUUUUCUUUAGGAAAAUCAAACUUUUGUAGCUGCUCUCUAACACAUUUAUUGUUUAUACAGAUGUAAUAAAAACAAGUUUUUUCUUAAGUGAGAACCAGACAACUUUGAAAUAUGAAGACGACAGUAAGCCAAUAUUUAGGUGUAUGAGAUGUCGUUACGAAUCAUAUUUAUUUACUAGUUAAUUCAUAGCCUAAUAAAAUCAUAUUUAUUUACUAGUUACUUAAUAGCAUAAUCAAAUCAGAUAUAUUUACUAGUUAUUUCAUAGCCUAAUCAAAUCAGAUAUAUUUACUAUUUACUUCAUAGCCUAAUCAAAUUAGAUAUAUUUACUAUUUACUUCAUAGCCUAAUCAAAUCAGAUAUAUUUACUGGUUACUUCAUAGCCUAAUCAAAUCAGAUAUAUUUACUGGUUACUUCAUUGCCUAAUCAAAUCAGAUAUAUUUACUAGUUACUUCAUAGCCUAAUUAAAUCAGAUAUAUUUACUAGUUACUUCAUACCCUAAUCAAAUCAGAUAUAUUUACUGGUUACUUCAUAGCCUAAUCAAAUCAGAUAUAUUUACUGGUUACUUCAUAGCCUAAUCAAAUCAGAUAUAUUUACUGGUUACUUCAUUGCCUAAUUAAAUCAGAUAUAUUUACUAGUUACUUCAUAGCCUAAUCAAAUCAGAUAUAUUUACUGGUUACUUCAUUGCCUAAUUAAAUCAGAAAUAUUUACUAGUUACUUCAUAGCCUAAUCAAAUCAGAUAUAUUUACUAGCUACUUCAUAGCCUAAUCAAAUAAGAUAUAUUUACUGGUUACUUCAUAGCCUAAUCAAAUCAGAUAUAUUUACUAGUUACUUCAUUGCCUAAUCAAAUCAGAUAUAUUUACUGGU
RNAcentral lists this unclassified non-coding RNA (952 nucleotides) under Eurytemora carolleeae. RNAcentral's name for it is "uncharacterized LOC111715206". Lineage: Eukaryota; Metazoa; Arthropoda; Copepoda; Calanoida; Temoridae. The record is from RNAcentral.